This 87-nucleotide transfer RNA is filed under the name Candidatus Microgenomates bacterium. Its description in RNAcentral is "tRNA-Ser". It matches the Rfam family "tRNA". Rfam says of the family: Transfer RNA (tRNA) molecules are approximately 80 nucleotides in length. Their secondary structure includes four short double-helical elements and three loops (D, anti-codon, and T loops). Lineage: Bacteria; Candidatus Microgenomatota. The record is from RNAcentral.
GGAGAGAUGCCUGAGCGGUCGAAAGGACACGCUUGGAGUGCGUGCGUAUAAGAAAUUAUACCGUGGGUUCGAAUCCCACUCUCUCCG